CCAGGUCCUAGUCCAAUCAAAUGUUUCUCAUAGAGACUUGAGGCACAUGCAUGACAAACCCUGCAAACUUGCCAAUCCGUUUGGUCACAUAAAUCUAAUGAAUCUAAUGCUUUUCUAUAUGAAGUAUUAAACAGAGGAAGUGUAUGCUUGCAAAAAGAUCAUCCAAGAGGGUGGAUAAGGGGAGUGGAAGGUAGAAUUUGGGAGGAAAAGAGGCAGAGGACACAUUUGUGUGAGAGAUAGCUAUCACCAAGGAGGGAGAAAGUAGAGUUACAUUGAGUGAUGUCACUAAGGACAGAGAGGAGGCACAUCAUGAGACUGAUGAGACUGUGCGCGCGAGUCGUAUCCACCUAGUCCAAAGGGCUUCUACUUGCAGACACACUCAAAGUGCUGCUUGCAGACACACUCAAAGUGCUGCAUACAUCGCCAGCCCACAGCGCGUCCUGAUGACACACAUUAUGUUUGUACAGAUCCUGGCUGCCUAAGUCACGUGUGCCGGAGGUGCAACUUGAUCCUGGCACAAAAGUGAAGAUAUGAUUGUAUGUGUAUUUAAGGAGAAAAACUGC
Pelobates cultripes (western spadefoot toad) is the source of this 563-nucleotide non-coding RNA. The record is from the annotation of a GenBank genome assembly. NCBI's taxonomy places the organism in Eukaryota, Metazoa, Chordata, Amphibia, Anura, Pelobatidae.